AAAUGCGAUAAGUAAUGUGAAUUGCAGAAUUCAGUGAAUCAUCGAAUCUUUGAACGCACCUUGCGCUCCUUGGUAUUCCUUGGAGCAUGCCUGUUUGAGUAUCAUGAAAUCUUCAAAGUAAAUCUUUUGUUAACUCAAUUGGUUUCUACUUUGGUAUUGGAGGUCUUUGCAGCUUCACACCUGCUCCUCUUUGUACAUUAGCUGGAUCUCAGUGUUAUGCUUGGUUCCACUCGGCGUGAUAAGUUAUCUAUCGCUGAGGACACUGUAAAAGGUGGCCAAGGUAAAUGCAGAUGAACCGCUUCUAAUAGUCCAUUGACUUGGACAAUACUUUUAUGAUCUGAUCUCAAAUCAGGUAGGACUACCCGCUGAACUUAAGC
This 377-nucleotide unclassified non-coding RNA is filed under the name plant metagenome. RNAcentral's name for it is "partial contains 5.8S ribosomal RNA, internal transcribed spacer 2, and large subunit ribosomal RNA". The stretch from base 1 to 104 matches the Rfam family "5.8S ribosomal RNA", at positions 51 to 154 of the family's 154-position model. The record is from RNAcentral.